GGUCGAUGGAAGGAAAAGUUGUUCAUCCGAAACUCGCCUAUUUAGACUCAAGAAAGUUAUGGUAAAGUGUUUGAGAUAGUUUUCAUUUGUGAUUGAACUCACGAUGUUGCUCGAUUCAAUAAUUUCCUCUUGAAUUAACUGUUUAAGGUUUAUCAAAAGAUGUUUAAUUUUAAUUACUGAUGCAUUGUUAAAAACAGCAUCAAUGUAAACAUGUGGGACAAUGUCAACGACGAGCGUGUCUCGGCUAUGAGAGGUUCGGCACGUUCAUUGGAUGACUGACUGGGUGUGGUCCAUCCUCUCGUAACAACACGCCGCGUUUCCGGACAGGUUGAUUAUCUGCAUACAGCUGGAUUCAAAGUUGUUUCUAACGAUUGUUAUAUUUGGUGACACAUCCAUGACCAUGCAGUGAACAAGAGAGCAGUAGGCCUAAUCAUCUGAUGACACAAACCAUGGACCUACUACGAACCCCCUGCACAACUCAAGAUAACUUCAUCUAAAUCUGCAAAGUUUUAGACUAUCUUCUUGAAGAAAGCAAGCCCAUCCAAUGUCUUAACAUCAACAAAAUUGAAGCAGCUCCGGCUUUCUUCUUCUCUGGACAUUCUUCUUCAGAAUAUGAAGUGUGUAUCCCUGUGGCGAGGCCCCUACAGACACAAUGAAGAUGGAUCAAUAGAGUUCAUGCCAAUGGAUUCCAUGUUUGUCGACUCUCUGGCUCUUUGCCUCACACUUCCUGUGGUGCCUUCUAAAGAAUCACCUUAUUUACCCACCCAGCUUGCCUUCAUAGCACCGUCAAAGUGGGUCUGUGCAGUGCAGGAGUGAAAUAGGGUGGUCGAAAAGCAUGAUUUCAACCCUUUGCCC
This is a long non-coding RNA of Strongylocentrotus purpuratus (purple sea urchin), 855 nucleotides long. RefSeq lists it as uncharacterized. The transcript is spliced from 4 exons. The record is from RefSeq and is a predicted model, not a curated record. NCBI's taxonomy places the organism in Eukaryota, Metazoa, Echinodermata, Echinoidea, Camarodonta, Strongylocentrotidae.